AAAUUUUAGAGAGACAGAGGGUGGGGUAAUUGUCGGUGUAGGAGCCAAUCGAUGUCAUGCAUGUAGGUAUACUUUGGUUUUCAUUGGUCAGUGCACUGAGUCAUUGACUCUAAUGCAGCAGCCGCCGACAGAGUGGGUAAUUUUACUACUACUAGGUAAAAUGGCGUUCCUAGGGAGCAAUAAAAGAAAAACAAAACAAUUAAGUCUUUGGAUCUUUUCCGAAAGACAUCACAAGAGGGCAGCAGAGACAAGGAGGGUGAUGAGCUACAGAAGGAGGAGAAGCAGGAAGAAGACAGAAGAGAUGGUGACAGAGAGGAUUCAGGAUUACUGAGUGUGUUGUGGCCCAACGUUCUGGAGGUGGAAGCCGAACAGGAGCACUUGCUGCCCACAAGAAAAGACAGGACAAGUCUGGAUUCCAAGACUGUAGCUCAGCCUCUGUGAUGGGAAGACGUCACCACUGUCAGGAGAAAUAAGACUGUUCCCAGACAAAAGUAAGACAGCUCUCCCAAAUGGGCUCUACACACACUCAUUCUUAGUUUAGCUCAAAUGCUUAGAUCGCAAAGCCAAAGCACCACUGACCUCACAAGAUGGUCAUGAUCUACUUCCCCAAAACCACAUUUUAUCUGUUCAUUGACACCACUGCUCUUCAGUUGUUUAAUAUAGUGCCUAGAGAAGAGUGAUGAUGCAUGACCUCAUCUUGUACUUUUAUCAGUUUCACUAUUGCAUAAUAACUCAAGUUGUUGACCACAGAGCUGACUGUCGUUAGAAUUUCUUUAUGUGUCUUCUUUAUGUGAUUAUAUUAUGUAUAUAUACAUACGUACAAACAGUAUGUAUAUUUACAUUUGACACGUAUUCCUUAAUUUUCUUAAUAAGACUCAAAUCAGGAAAUAUCAGAUCAAAGAACUGAGCACUAAGCCAACUAAUACAUAGUUUAUCCCAUUAAAGUGUUCACUACAAUGACUUUCUGACUUGAUUCCAAUGCCCUAUCAUGGCCAACCUCUAUCUGCAGUAUUACAGUUAUAGAGCAGCUGUCAAACAGGUGAGAACAUCUUCUAACGUUUUUUUAAGCAGUAUUUUCACAGCUGGAAAGAUUAUACUAAACAGAUAUACAGACCUGCGCCUGUGAUUUCAAUAAACGAGUUUUCUUCCAAGUCCAGCUUUGAGUGUUUAUACUCAUUUACAGUAGAUAUGUGCUGUUCAAAUUAACUUUGACAGACAUAGCAUAAUGAAAACAUCCAACACACUGGAGGAAGAUGUACAAUUGAGCAGUCAUUUUUAUUUUGCCAGGAGCUCAAAUGACUCGACAUUCUGUCUGUAAAUGUAUUUUGUAUGUAGUGCGGCUCCAUCAGACUGACAAGUUUUAGUGCCUCACUACAAAACCGUGUUUCACUCUCUGCUUUCAUGGUGUCUUAAUGAAGCUGUACAAUGCUGUGGUUUCUCAUGUGUCAGUGCUGCCUUCAAUAUUAACCUGCAGUGUAUUUGACUUAAAUGGCACAAACUGAUAUUUUAAGAGAGGGGUAUUCAUAGCAUACAUGCAUACAUGUCAGUUUGCUAUAAAUAUUUAUAUAUCAUGUGUAUGUGUUAAUGCUGUUGUUAAAUACAGGAAAAUGUUUGUUUUUUUUCUUUUCAAACUGUUCUUACUAUCACAAUCUCCAUGGCAAAUAAAACACUUAUGUCCACAACCUUUCAAGGGACGCUGUGUUUGUAUGUGUGCUGGACACAUUAGAUGAAGAAAAGGAA
Long non-coding RNA from Seriola aureovittata, 1740 nucleotides. RefSeq lists it as uncharacterized. Lineage: Eukaryota; Metazoa; Chordata; Actinopteri; Carangiformes; Carangidae. The record is from RefSeq and is a predicted model, not a curated record. The transcript is spliced from 3 exons.